Molecule: long non-coding RNA, 1189 nt
Organism: Spodoptera frugiperda (fall armyworm)
Lineage: Eukaryota; Metazoa; Arthropoda; Insecta; Lepidoptera; Noctuidae
Exons: 3
Source: RefSeq, a predicted model, not a curated record
UUGAGACCAAGUUUUGUGUGUGUAUGAUAGCAGAACAUUGAAAUAAAAUGUUGAUAAAUUUCCGCCGCUGACUAUGUUAAGAAUGAAUAGUCAUGAUAGAUGGUAUUUAGACACAAACAUAUGAAGCAAUGCCGAGCUGUGUAGAGGUAAAUACAUACUUUGUUGUCGAUCGACCAAUACACCAGGAUUUCAGUGAUUUCUCAUUCCCUUAAAGAUAUGACAACGGUUUCAUUGCAGCAUAUUUUUAUGUCACAAAAUGCUAUUGCGUAUCGAAUGUUGAUGUUGCCAUGUUGCUCCAAAAUUUUUGAUGAAAUAGUUUAAAGUUUUGAAUAUUUAUUUUACGCUUUUAACGUUUUUGGUUGAACGAAACCAAACUAACCAGUUAAAGGGUACUUUAAUUUUCAUCAAGACUAAUGAUUUUUUCAUUCUUAUGUAUUGAAUGUGUAAUAAACACCGAAAGGUUGUAUGGUGACACGCCUUCAUGCCUAUUAACCUACAGGAUAAUCCUGUUACCUAUAGCAGAACACUGUUAUAUUUAUGGCAAAGAGAAGGGGCUAAGUUAAUGUUUCUCUGUUAAUCAGGUCUUUUGGAUUUUGAGUAGAAUGCCUAAACAGUCUAAUACCGAAAAUUAUACCAGUGACUGCUAUUCCUGCGCUACGCUUACCCUAAUGCAGUAAGACGCUUACACAGCCAACACAGACACAUUCAGCGACGGAAAGAUAUGUUGAAAUUAUAUGUCAUUUUACAUCGCACUCGUAUUGGAAAAAGAAAGGUAAUAUGUACAGGGACAUUUUCCAACACCAGUGGUUUAAGUUUGAGUCUCGAGUAUUUCACAUUAUGCCAAAAAGUAAGUUUAUGUUUAAUAACUGAGGCGAGUUUUUGAACUGAAAGCGCCUCAUUGUCAUUACAAACGAAAAGUUGUCACGUUAAGUUAGAGUGAUGUGUGACAUUGCGUUAUUUAAAAUGUUCUAUAAUUUAGAUUGAAACAGAGUUUUGUGAGUGUAUGAUAGCAGUACAUUGAAAUAAAAUGUUGAUAAAUUUCCGCCGCUGACUAUGUUAAGAAUGAAUAGUCAUGAUAGAUGGUAUUUAGACACAAACAUAUGAAGCAAUGCGUUGUUAUAUGACGGUAUAUACCUCGUUGUUGAUAAAGAAGUACAGGUCUAACGGGAUUUAAGUGAUUUCUCAGUCC